Molecule: ribosomal RNA, 416 nt
Filed under: uncultured bacterium
Lineage: Bacteria
Description: bacterial SSU rRNA
Rfam family: Bacterial small subunit ribosomal RNA
Source: RNAcentral
UGGGGAAUAUUGCACAAUGGGGGAAAGCCCUGAUGCAGCGACGCCGCGUGAAGGAUGAAGUAUUUCGGUAUGUAAACUUCUAUCAGCAGGGAAGAAAAUGACGGUACCUGACUAAGAAGCCCCGGCUAACUACGUGCCAGCAGCCGCGGUAAUACGUAGGGGGCAAGCGUUAUCCGGAUUUACUGGGUGUAAAGGGAGCGUAGACGGCAUGGCAAGUCUGAAGUGAAAGCCCGGGGCUCAACCCUGGGACUGCUUUGGAAACUGUCAGGCUAGAGUGCUGGAGAGGUAAGUGGAAUUCCUAGUGUAGCGGUGAAAUGCUUAGAUAUCACGAAGAACUCCUAUUGCGAAGGCAGCUCACUAAACUGCAACUGACAUUGAGGCUCGAAAGCGUGGGGAGCAAACAGGAUUAGAUACCC